UGGCUUUUCAACCAGAGGAAAACAUCACAUAAUGAUAAAAAGGGAAAGGACUCUAGCACUGGGAUAGAACUCAGAAGAGAGACUUUUUUUAUCAUUUUGAUGAUUGUGCUUUUGCUUUCCUGACAUAAAAAGAGGGGUCUCUGGAAUUUUAGUAGAAGAAACAAUAGUAGGAUAGCUAUAGAGCUUCCUAACUUGAAUUAAUGCAACCCAUCAUUACCCUUUUCUCAUAUGUCAUAUCCUAACUAAAAUUUAUACAAACUAAAAGCACAUUCUCCUAUGCCUCUCUCGAUAAGCAAAGUUGACAGCAGAAAAGAAUCUUAGCCAAGUGGCUUGCAGGUUAUAAGGGUUCCAACUUGCUCAAUGUCCACUUCUUGUUUACUCCACAGGAAUUGCUUGCUUGCUCAAAAGUAGUUUUCUUUUUUAUUAGUUGUUACCACCAAAUUUAUAUAUUCAUAAAUAAAUACACAUCCCUGAAAAUACCAAACAUAUUUCAUCUAAAAAUACCAAAAAGAAAAAUAGAAAAAGGUUACAAGGGAGUGAGUGAAAAAAAAAAAGAAAGAAAAACCUAAAGUGAAGAGACUGAGACACUAUUUUUACCCAUUACCAGCUCAGCAAUUCACAUUACCACACUCUCUCACUAGGGUUUGGUGAACUUGAAUUGGUCAUCUCAAUCUUGCCUGAGUUGAGAACGAGUUUUGAGUUAUGACUCAGUGAGCUACUACUUGUUUGUUGGCCAGCCUCCAGGCUGAGGUUGCAAUCAGCGGCCUAGUAUGCCAUCCCAGCAUCAAACACCCGUUGUUCUCUUCCACUCUAUACCCAUCUCCACCAGCAAAUAGGGCUAGUAACAUGCUUGCUUGUUUGAAGGCGUUUGACCCGAGAUGAACGGGAACAAAUCCGGAGGAACCCAGACGAGUUCGCCACUGAGUCAGAGUCUCGUGUCUUUCGAUUCGGUCCGGUCCUUCACAUGCCACAAUAUUGCAAAUCUGCUUCCCUAAAUACACCUCUGACAUCACCUUAUCUUGGGUACUCACCGAUCCCUCCAACGAGUCAAACAGAGUCGAGUAGUAAUGCAAUGAUUCAGUGAAGCGGUCCAAGAAAACCGAAUCAUUAUGGUUCGCUUCUUGCUCAACAAUGGUAACAAUCUCCGGUUUCAUCUGUUUCACCACCGAAAGGACCUUUUCAAUGGCGCCUGGCCUCGCUAACAGUUUAUGCAACUCGAAAACAGAGUUAACGGCGACGGACUCAAACUCACUGGGUCUGAGUUCAAGCAUAGAAGCGUCGAGAUCGGCUAGGCUAUUAGCUACAAAUCCCCGAUACUCAAACUCAACAUGAAUAGUCUCUGCCAACUGAGCUAAUUUCCAGCCCACUUCUUGAAGAUGAUCAGAGUUAUCAUGAGACGGCGGUCCAAUCCCCGUUAAGCGAAAAGCCGGCGGACCACCAGGUCUGAGCGCGAGAGCUUGCAACAAGGCAGGCCACUGCAUCCCUUGAUUCAUGGAAAAGUCGAUAACGUGCACUCGUUUUUUCCCUUCAAAGGCCUCAAGAAUUGCUUGAUUUGCUGUGAAGUGAGCGAAUUUGAGAUAAGGACAGGUUUCGUAAAAGUGCAUCUGUAGAAUAUCCGAGAGAGAAUGGUCCAUGGGACUUUGAGGAUAGAGUCCGUAAAUUCUGCGAGCCAAGGCCUCGGCGAAGUAGGUGGCGACUUUACGCAUAGCUCCGGCUUGAGAGAUGGCCAGGAAACCGAUUUGCUUGACGAGGGCUUCCGCGACAGUUAGAUUAUUUUCUUGGACGGCCUCGGCACAGGCCAUUAGGAGAUGAACUAGUCGGAUUCCGUUCUCUUGUGAGUCAACCAGGACUACAGAACAAGUUGACUCAGUUGAAACACCGAAGGAACCGGUAGCAGUAGGACCACCACCAAUAUUUGAAGACGAUGAUGAUGCAGCUGCUGCUGGGUAUAGGUGGUCUGUGGCUGUGGGUUUGAACCGCUUGGGAUCUCGAGAUGAGAAAGAGGAGGAAUCAAUUUGACGAGGUUGAGCAAAAACGGCCUUACCAGGAAUAGCUUUGAUAUCGUAAUCAGAAGAUGAAGAUUCUUGAAACACCACUCCACGACUGUGCUUGUUUGUUUUUUGGGGUUCUUGCCGUUGCUGUUGAUGGGUAUGGUCGGCGAAAUCGACAGAGGUGAUGGUGGAAGACUCGGGAGGAGCGAAAAAUGAAUCAUCUAAAGAAGAAGGCUGUGCAGCCACAACAAGAGGAUCAAAAUUGGGGUUUGGAUUGAGCUCAGAAAGCAUACUUUCCAGCCAUGUGGAUAGAUCAGAGGGAUUAUAAUGGACAGUUUCAGAAGCAAGAUGAGAAAGUCCAUCUUCUUGUACGUGACCCAUAACUUCUUCCAGCUGUUCAAGCUUUUGCGCGACUUCCGCCAUGUCUGAUGACCUUACCUUAUAACCCAAAACAGCCAAAAGCUCAUCCAUCCCACCAUCAACGUGGGCAUCGUCUUUCCACAUCUUGGCUUUGCAAGAAGCAUCAGUAUUGGUAUUAGCAGGUGGCAUGGUAGAGUAAACAGAAGAAGAACUGCCAGCCGAAGCUGGUUCUAACCGAGUAUGGAGAUUCGGGUGUUCCCUUUUCAUGAUUUGGAUCUCUCCUUCGUUUUGUUUUAGGAUAUGGGUUUCUGAGAUUGUGAGUGGUGGUGCUCAAAAACCAAAGGGAGCUUCUGCUGCGAAUGGGUAAGGCUAAGUGAGGAAUCUGUGCAUUGGGGAUUGGGGAUUUCUGCUUGAUUUUUCACCACUAAUCGC
Molecule: unclassified non-coding RNA, 2783 nt
Filed under: Hevea brasiliensis (rubber tree)
Lineage: Eukaryota; Viridiplantae; Streptophyta; Magnoliopsida; Malpighiales; Euphorbiaceae
Source: RNAcentral